AUACGUAGGGAGCAAGCGUUGUCCGGAAUUACUGGGUGUAAAGGGAGCGUAGGCGGGACGGCAAGUCAGAUGUGAAAUUUAUGGGCUCAACUCAUAACCUGCAUUUGAAACUGCUGUUCUUGAGUGAAGUAGAGGUAAGCGGAAUUCCUGGUGUAGCGGUGAAAUGCGUAGAUAUCAGGAGGAACAUCGGUGGCGAAGGCGGCUUACUGGGUCUUUUACUGACGCUGAGGCUCGAAAGCGUGGGGAGC
Molecule: ribosomal RNA, 248 nt
Filed under: uncultured bacterium
Lineage: Bacteria
Description: partial 16S ribosomal RNA
Rfam family: Bacterial small subunit ribosomal RNA
Source: RNAcentral